Molecule: transfer RNA, 73 nt
Filed under: Trichonephila inaurata madagascariensis
Lineage: Eukaryota; Metazoa; Arthropoda; Arachnida; Araneae; Nephilidae
Description: tRNA-Cys
Rfam family: tRNA
About the family: Transfer RNA (tRNA) molecules are approximately 80 nucleotides in length. Their secondary structure includes four short double-helical elements and three loops (D, anti-codon, and T loops). Further hydrogen bonds mediate the characteristic L-shaped molecular structure. tRNAs have two regions of fundamental functional importance: the anti-codon, which is responsible for specific mRNA codon recognition, and the 3' end, to which the tRNAs corresponding amino acid is attached (by aminoacyl-tRNA synthetases). tRNAs cope with the degeneracy of the genetic code in two manners: having more than one tRNA (with a specific anti-codon) for a particular amino acid; and 'wobble' base-pairing, i.e. permitting non-standard base-pairing at the 3rd anti-codon position.
Source: RNAcentral
GGGGUGUAUAGCUCUGUGGUACAGCAUUCGACUGCAUAUCGGGAGGUCCCUGGUUCAAACUCGGGUGCCCCCA